This 73-nucleotide transfer RNA is filed under the name Sulfolobus acidocaldarius DSM 639. RNAcentral describes it as "tRNA-Lys". It matches the Rfam family "tRNA". From Rfam's summary of the family: Transfer RNA (tRNA) molecules are approximately 80 nucleotides in length. Lineage: Archaea; Thermoproteati; Thermoproteota; Thermoprotei; Sulfolobales; Sulfolobaceae. The record is from RNAcentral.
GGGCCCGUAGCUCAGCCAGGUAGAGCGGCGGGCUUUUAAGACCCGUAGGUCCCGGGUUCAAAUCCCGGCGGGC